This 253-nucleotide ribosomal RNA is filed under the name uncultured bacterium. RNAcentral describes it as "partial 16S ribosomal RNA". It matches the Rfam family "Bacterial small subunit ribosomal RNA", at positions 524 to 776 of the family's 1533-position model. The record is from RNAcentral.
UACGUAGGCAGCGAGCGUUGUUCGGAAUUACUGGGCGUAAAGAGUGUGUAGGCGGUGCUCCCAGUCUGUUGUGAAAUCUCCCGGCUUAACUGGGAGGGUGCAGCGGAAACUAGAGUGCUAGAGGGUGGGAGAGGUAAGCGGAAUUCCUGGUGUAGCGGUGAAAUGCGUAGAUAUCAGGAGGAACACCUGUGGUGUAGACGGCUCUCUGGACCGCAACUGACGCUGAGACACGAAAGCGUGGGUAGCAAACAGG